CCACCAUGCCAUCCUAUUUUCACUUAAAAAUACAAACAUUUUAUUGCUUCAGUGAACUGAAAUGUGAUAAUAGGAAUCUGUUAGUGCAUGCCAGCUAGUAACCUAAGGCUUCCAUGUGUUAUAUUUGUGGUCAUCACAAAUCCCCACACUGUUAUGAAUCCCAUUUUACAGAUGAAGAAACUGAAAUACAGACAUUCAGUUUCUUGCCCAUAGUCACUUACAGUAAAUAGGGAUUCCUGGACUCAAACUCAGGCAGUCCAGAGCCUCCCUCAUAAUUACCAGGUUAUCCUACCUCUCUGGAAGCUGCUGACAAAUAUUAACUGCUUCAGUCAGUAAAACUGCAACCAUUUUCAUGCAUUUGCCUACUCGAGUUGCUGUGACUAAGUACCACAGAGGGGGAGGCUUCAACAACAGAUGUUUAUGGUCCAAGACCAAGUUUCCAUCUGAUUUGGUUCCUGGUGAGACCACCUUCCGCGGCUUGCAGGUGGCUGCCUUCUUGCUGUGGCCUCACAUGGCCUUUUCUCAGUGUAUGCACUAGAAGAGGGAGAAAAAUGUCUGUCUCUCUUCUUAGAAGGCCACCAAGCCUGUAGGAUUAGGACUCCACUCUUAUUACCCCCCUUGACCUUCAUUAUCCUCCUAAAGCCCGAUCUCCAAAACCAGUCAGACUGGGGAUGAAAAUUUCGAUAUAUGUAUUUUAAAGAGAAACAAUUCAGUCCAGAGUGUAUCAACAAACAGUAAAAACACAAUUAAUGGAUGUUUUAUAGCCUUUAUCAUUUUACGUGUUUUAGAUUUCCAAAGAGUUGCAACUUCUUCCGUCACAGUGUGUAUUGAUUUCCCAUUGCUUCCAUGACAAAGAAGACGGAGUUGCCAUGUUCAACAUGCCCAGCCCGUAGGAAGUGCCUUUUGCCCUUCACCAUGGUUGUGAGACCUUCCCCAGCUAUGUGGAACUGUAAGUUCAAUUAAACCUUUUUGUU
RNAcentral lists this long non-coding RNA (974 nucleotides) under Homo sapiens (human). RNAcentral's name for it is "HSALNT0344664". Lineage: Eukaryota; Metazoa; Chordata; Mammalia; Primates; Hominidae. The record is from RNAcentral.